CAUGUAGGCGGCAUGACAAGUCUGGUGUGAAAUAUCUCGGCUCAACCGAGAAAACGCACUGGAAACUGUCAAGCUUGAGUAUCGGAGGGGAAGCUAGAAUUCCUGGUGUAGGGGUGAAAUCUGUAGAUAUCAGGAAGAAUACCGGUGGCGAAGGCGAGCCUCUGGCCAGAUACUGACGCUGAGAUGCGAAAGCGUGGGGAGCGAACAGGAUUAGAUACCCUGGUAGUCC
RNAcentral lists this ribosomal RNA (229 nucleotides) under uncultured bacterium. Its description in RNAcentral is "partial 16S ribosomal RNA". It matches the Rfam family "Bacterial small subunit ribosomal RNA", at positions 568 to 796 of the family's 1533-position model. The record is from RNAcentral.